AUUGAACGCUGGCGGCAUGCUUUACACAUGCCAGUCGAACGGCAGCGCGGGCUUCGGCCUGGCGGCGCGUGGCGAACGGGUGAGUAAUGCAUCGGAACGUGCCCAGUCGUGGGGGAUAGCCCGGCGAAAGCCGGAUUAAUACCGCAUACGACCUGAUGUUGAAAGCGGGGGACCGAUAGUCCUCGCGCUAUUGGCUCUCCCGAUGUCGGAUUAGCUAGUUGGUGGGGUAAAGGCUUACCAAGGCGACGAUCCGUAGCUGGUCUGAGAGGACGACCAGCCACACUGGGACUGAGACACGGCCCAGACUCCUACGGGAGGCAGCAGUGGGGAAUUUUGGACAAUGGGGGCAACCCUGAUCCAGCCAUGCCGCGUGCGGGAAGAAGGCCUUCGGGUUGUAAAACGCUGUUGUUCGGGAAGAAAUACUCUGGGCUAAUACCCCGGGGGGAUGACGGUACCGGAAGAAUAAGCACCGGCUAACUACGUG
RNAcentral lists this ribosomal RNA (484 nucleotides) under uncultured bacterium. RNAcentral describes it as "partial 16S ribosomal RNA". It matches the Rfam family "Bacterial small subunit ribosomal RNA", at positions 28 to 507 of the family's 1533-position model. The record is from RNAcentral.